This 82-nucleotide transfer RNA is filed under the name Candidatus Anammoximicrobium sp. Its description in RNAcentral is "tRNA-Tyr". It matches the Rfam family "tRNA". Rfam says of the family: Transfer RNA (tRNA) molecules are approximately 80 nucleotides in length. Lineage: Bacteria; Pseudomonadati; Planctomycetota; Planctomycetia; Pirellulales; Pirellulaceae. The record is from RNAcentral.
GGGGGGUUUCCCGAGUGGUCAAAGGGGACGGACUGUAAAUCCGUUGGCUCAGCCUUCGCAGGUUCAAAUCCUGCACCCCCCA